Molecule: non-coding RNA, 237 nt
Organism: Erythranthe guttata (spotted monkey flower)
Lineage: Eukaryota; Viridiplantae; Streptophyta; Magnoliopsida; Lamiales; Phrymaceae
Source: RefSeq, a predicted model, not a curated record
AUCAGUUCCUUCAGGAAACUCGUAGAGGACAUCGUAAACUAUAAGUGUUGAGCGUAGUAAAGCUCUCACUCAAGGUUUAAGCUUAAGGAUGCACCUAUAGAACCAGCAUUGGACUCCAGGUGAGAAACUAUGACUCCUUAUCCAAUUUCUUUCCUGCGCAUAAUAUCUCCUUUGUUUGAACCGAAUAUUUUGUAUACAUUGAAGCCUUCGAUACCGUGAUUAUAUUUGUUCUUGAAA